RNAcentral lists this ribosomal RNA (253 nucleotides) under uncultured bacterium. Its description in RNAcentral is "partial 16S ribosomal RNA". It matches the Rfam family "Bacterial small subunit ribosomal RNA", at positions 524 to 776 of the family's 1533-position model. The record is from RNAcentral.
UACAGAGGGUGCGAGCGUUAAUCGGCAUUACUGGGCGUAAAGCGCACGUAGGUGGCGACGUAAGUCGGGUGUGAAAGCCCCGGGCUCAACCUGGGAAUUGCAUUCGAGACUGCAUUGCUGGAGUACGGAAGAGGAGGGCGGAAUUCCCGGUGUAGCGGUGAAAUGCGUAGAUAUCGGGAGGAACAUCAGUGGCGAAGGCGGCCCGCUGGUCCAGUACUGACACUCAAGUGCGAAAGCUUGUGGAGCAAACAGG